UGGUUCCUACGGGAGGCAGCAGUGGGGAAUAUUGCACAAUGGGGGGAACCCUGAUGCAGCGACGCCGCGUGGGUGAAGAAGCGCCUCGGCGCGUAAAGCCCUGUCAGCAGGGAAGAAAAUGACGGUACCUGAAGAAGAAGCCCCGGCUAACUACGUGCCAGCAGCCGCGGUAAUACGUAGGGGGCAAGCGUUAUCCGGAUUUACUGGGUGUAAAGGGGGCGCAGACGGCGAUGCAAGCCAGGAGUGAAAGCCCGGGGCCCAACCCCGGGACUGCUCUGGAAACUGCCAGGCUGGAGAGCAGGAGG
RNAcentral lists this ribosomal RNA (305 nucleotides) under uncultured bacterium. RNAcentral describes it as "bacterial SSU rRNA". It matches the Rfam family "Bacterial small subunit ribosomal RNA", at positions 333 to 655 of the family's 1533-position model. The record is from RNAcentral.